Carya illinoinensis is the source of this 1835-nucleotide long non-coding RNA. RefSeq lists it as uncharacterized. The transcript has 9 exons. The record is from RefSeq and is a predicted model, not a curated record. NCBI's taxonomy places the organism in Eukaryota, Viridiplantae, Streptophyta, Magnoliopsida, Fagales, Juglandaceae.
AUUUAACUCUUCAGACUCGGAGCCUCAGAGGCUGAAUAAUAAAGCUACCUACCAUGGUUUUCAUUUGAAUUUUAAACAAAAUCCAAAAAAUAGCCGUUUCUAAUCUUCCAGUGAUGAAAGAACACGAGAACAUACAGACGUCCCCCCUUUUCCCUCCCCAACGUUCACGCACGAGCAUAUAUAUAUAUACACGCCUGUAUAUUUACUAUUCCGGGAUUCCUGACACAAAUAGGUAGCCAUUUGAGAUAGUGUUGGUUUAUUGUGGCUCAUGCGUCAAUGGAGAGAAAGGUGGUUUUCGCAGCCAUCAAGACGCAUCCGAUGAUCCGAAAUGUAAGCAUUGCAGUUAAUCUGUUACUAGUCUGAUUCGUAUUCUUCGCCGAAGUUGAACAAUUUGGAUCUUGCUGUCAAUCUUGCAAAAAGGGGGAAUCUUCCUGGAGUUGAGCAGCUUGUUGUCCAAUGUUUCCAAGAACUAUUUGCCCAAACGAAGUACAAAGAAGCUGCAGAACUUGCUGCCGAGUCCCCACAAGGAAUCCUCCGAACACUGGACACAGUUGCCAAAUUCCAGAGUGUUCCUGUCCAACCUAGGCAAACGCCACCUCUGUUGCCGUAUUUCGAGACACUUUUGACAAAAGGAAAGCUUAAUGCUUUUGAGUCGUUGGAAUUAUCACGCCUUGUUGUUAACCAAAACAAAAAGAAUCUUUUGGAGAAUUGGUUGGCAGAGGAUAAGCAGAAUGCAGUGAGGAACUAGGGGAUCUCGUGAAGGUUUGAUGCACAAUUUAAGAUUCAAAUACUGUGGAUAAUGAUCUUGCAUUGAAAAUAUACAUUAAAUCCUAAGCAACUCCAAAAGUCGUUGUUGCUUUUGCUGAAUGGAGGGAAUUUGAUAAAAUUUUGAUAUAUUCAAAACAGGUUGGGUACAAUCCAGUUUAUCUAUUCCUUCUACAGACAAUCCUUUGUUCAGAUCCUCAGGGAGCUGUUAAUUUUGCGUUAAUGAUGUCUCAAAUGGAGGGAGGUUAUCCAGUUGAUUACAAUACCAUAACGGAUCUCUUUCUUCAGAGGAACCUGAUCCGUGAGGCAAUAGCUUUUCUAUUAGAUGUUUUGAAGCCAAGUCUUCCUGAGCAUACUUUCCUUCAAACAAAGGUCCAGGAAAUCAAUCUGGUAACUUUUCCAAAUGUAGGUGACGCUAUAUUAUCUAAUGGAAUGUUAAGCCAUUAUGUCUGUCCUCGAAUUGCCCAACUUCGUGAAAAGGCCGGUCUUUACAUGCGAGCUUUGCAAGUAAUGUCCUCUUAAAGCAAAGAUGAAGGGAUGAAGAAAGGUUGAUUUAAGUAUUUAUAUUGCUGUUUUCUAUUCAAAAUUAUAAUCAUCAUUUAGAUGGCAAAGGUAAAUAGUUUGAUGGCAGAUUACAAAAUAAAUUUCAUUCUCAUGUUCUAUCUGAUGAUAUAGAUUCUACGAUAAUGAAGGUAGUUACACACUUUACACUGAUAGCUUUCAACAACUAUAUUAUGACAAGCUAAUUGUGAUUUUCUUCCCAAGCCAUGUAUGAUAUGUUAGAAGCUUCUUUUUUUUAUUUUUUAUUUUUAAUCUCUUAUUGCCAUGUUUUCAUGAACUUUCCAUUUUAUUUUACAAUAUAUUGUCUUAAUAAUGUGGAAGUUCAAAGGUUGUCCUUCAUUAACUCUAGAUUUGUUAUAUUUCCUUGUAGAUGAAUCAUAGUCUUCCAUUAGUUGCAAAAUAUGUGGUUAUGUAGGAUUGUGUAAAAGUGCAAGUUUUCCAUUCCUAUUGAUCAAGUUUUAGCAGUGUAGCAAUGAACUUUGUAAAGAUUGAUGAAGCAAGGUACUUGC